This 473-nucleotide ribosomal RNA is filed under the name uncultured bacterium. RNAcentral describes it as "bacterial SSU rRNA". It matches the Rfam family "Bacterial small subunit ribosomal RNA", at positions 8 to 526 of the family's 1533-position model. The record is from RNAcentral.
AGGGUUUGAUCAUGGCUCAGAACGUACGCUGGCGGCACGCCUAACACAUGCAAGUCGAACGAAGUAGCAAUACUUAGUGGCAGACGGGUGAGUAACAUGUGGGUAUCUACCCUUUGGCCUGGAAUAACACGAGGAAACUUGUGCUAAUACCGGAUAAGUCUUUACGGAGAAAGCUUUAUGCACCAUUGGAUGAGCCCGCACUUGAUUAGUUUGUUGGUAGGGUAAUGGCCUACCAAGACUAUGAUCAAUAGCUGAUUUGAGAGGAUGACCAGCCACAUUGGGACUGAGACACGGCCCAAACUCCUACGGGAGGCAGCAGUGGGGAAUCUUGCACAAUGGAGGAAACUCUGAUGCAGCGAUGCCGCGUGAGUGAAGAAGGCCUUUGGGUUGUAAAGCUCUUUCGUCGGGGAAGAAAAUGACUGUACCCGAAUAAGAAGGUCCGGCUAACUUCGUGCCAGCCGCCGCGGUAAUAC